CCUACGGGAGGCAGCAGUGGGGAAUAUUGGGCAAUGGGCGCAAGUCUGACCCAGCAACGCCGCGUGAAGGAAGAAGGCUUUCGGGUUGUAAACUUCUUUUCUGAGGGACGAGGCAAGGGACGUUACCUGUGGAUUAAGCCCCGGCUAACUACGUGCCAGCAGCGGCGGUAAUACGUAGGUGGCAAGCGUUUUCCGGAUUUACUGGGUGUAAAGGGCGUGUAGGCGGGAAAGCAAGUCAGAUGUGAAAACCAUGGGCUCAACCUGUGGCCUGCAUUUGAAACUGUUUUUCGUGAGUGAUGGAGAGGCAGACGGAAUUCCUAGUGUAGCGGUGAAAUGCGUAGAUAUAAGGAAGAACACCAGUGGCGAAGGCGGUCUGCUGGACGGCAACUGACGCUGAGGCGCGAAAGCGUGGGGAGCAAACAGGAUUAGAUACCCCUGUAGUC
RNAcentral lists this ribosomal RNA (443 nucleotides) under uncultured bacterium. RNAcentral describes it as "partial 16S ribosomal RNA". It matches the Rfam family "Bacterial small subunit ribosomal RNA", at positions 338 to 795 of the family's 1533-position model. The record is from RNAcentral.